UGGUUCUGGCAUCGAUGAAGAACGCAGCGAAAUGCGAUAAGUAGUGUGAAUUGCAGAAUUCAGUGAAUCAUCGAAUCUUUGAACGCACAUUGCGCCCUUUGGUAUUCCUUAGGGCAUGCCUGUUCGAGCGUCAGUAGACGAACUUCAAGCUCAGCUUGGUGAUGGGCGCCUGCCCUCCUCCGGGAGUGCUCGCCUCAAAUGCCUCGGCGGCUGAAAUUUCGGUGUCGUAGCGCAGCACAGUCGCGCCUCUCGCCCCGAGUUUCGGCUCCCGCAAGCCAAACCCCCCACAGUUUGACCUCGGAUCAGGUAGGGAUACCCGCUGA
This 323-nucleotide unclassified non-coding RNA is filed under the name uncultured fungus. Its description in RNAcentral is "partial contains 5.8S ribosomal RNA and internal transcribed spacer 2". The stretch from base 1 to 133 matches the Rfam family "5.8S ribosomal RNA", at positions 22 to 154 of the family's 154-position model. The record is from RNAcentral. Lineage: Eukaryota; Fungi.